Molecule: ribosomal RNA, 508 nt
Filed under: uncultured bacterium
Lineage: Bacteria
Description: partial 16S ribosomal RNA
Rfam family: Bacterial small subunit ribosomal RNA
Source: RNAcentral
GACGAACGCUGGCGGCGUGCCUAAUACAUGCAAGUCGAACGCUUCUUUCCUCCCGAGUGCUUGCACUCAAUUGGAAAGAGGAGUGGCGGACGGGUGAGUAACACGUGGGUAACCUACCCAUCAGAGGGGGAUAACACUUGGAAACAGGUGCUAAUACCGCAUAACAGUUUAUGCCGCAUGGCAUAAGAGUGAAAGGCGCUUUCGGGUGUCGUUGAUGGAUGGACCCGCGGUGCAUUAGCUAGUUGGUGAGGUAACGGCUCACCAAGGCCACGAUGCAUAGCAGACCUGAGAGGGUGAUCGGCCACACUGGGACUGAGACACGGCCCAGACUCCUACGGGAGGCAGCAGUAGGGAAUCUUCGGCAAUGAACGAAAGUCUGACCGAGCAAAGCCGCGUGAGUGAAGAAGGUUUUCGGAUCGUAAAACUCUGUUGUUAGAGAAGAACAAGGACGUUAGUAACUGAACGUCCCCUGACGGUAUCUAACCAGAAAGCCACGGCUAACUACGUG